GAUGAACGCUAGCGGGAGGCUUAACACAUGCAAGUCGAGGGGCAGCAUAGGGUAGCAAUACUCUGAUGGCGACCGGCAAACGGGUGAGUAACGCGUAUGCAACCUACCCUGUACAGGGGGAUAACCCGGAGAAAUUCGGACUAAUAUCCCGUAAUAAUAUCCGGAGGCAUCUUUGGAUAUUUAAAGUUCCGACGGUACGGGAUGGGCAUGCGUAACAUUAACUGGUUGGUAAGGUAACGGCUUACCAAGGCUAUGAUGUUUAGGGGUCCUGAGAGGGUGGUCCCCCACACUGGUACUGAGACACGGACCAGACUCCUACGGGAGGCAGCAGUGAGGAAUAUUGGUCAAUGGGCGCAAGCCUGAACCAGCCAUCCCGCGUGCAGGAAGACGGCCCUAUGGGUUGUAAACUGCUUUUCCAGGGAGAGAAACUUACGCACGUGUUGCGUGACUGACGGUACCCUGGGAAUAAGCAAUCGGCUAACUCCGUGCCAGCAGCCGACGGUAAAAGUCACGUCG
Molecule: ribosomal RNA, 516 nt
Filed under: uncultured bacterium
Lineage: Bacteria
Description: bacterial SSU rRNA
Rfam family: Bacterial small subunit ribosomal RNA
Source: RNAcentral